This 486-nucleotide ribosomal RNA is filed under the name uncultured bacterium. RNAcentral describes it as "partial 16S ribosomal RNA". It matches the Rfam family "Bacterial small subunit ribosomal RNA", at positions 30 to 507 of the family's 1533-position model. The record is from RNAcentral.
AUUGAACGCUGGCGGCAUGCCUUACACAUGCAAGUCGAACGGCAGCACGGGUGCUUGCACCUGGUGGCGAGUGGCGAACGGGUGAGUAAUACAUCGGAACAUGUCCUGUAGUGGGGGAUAGCCCGGCGAAAGCCGGAUUAAUACCGCAUACGAUCUACGGAUGAAAGCGGGGGACCUUCGGGCCUCGCGCUAUAGGGUUGGCCGAUAGCUGAUUAGCUAGUUGGUGGGGUAAAGGCCUACCAAGGCGACGAUCAGUAGCUGGUCUGAGAGGACGACCAGCCACACUGGGACUGAGACACGGCCCAGACUCCUACGGGAGGCAGCAGUGGGGAAUUUUGGACAAUGGGCGAAAGCCUGAUCCAGCAAUGCCGCGUGUGUGAAGAAGGCCUUCGGGUUGUAAAGCACUUUUGUCCGGUAAGAAAUCCUUGGCUCUAAUACAGUCGGGGGAUGACGGUACCGGAAGAAUAAGCACCGGCUAACUACGUG